UAUAUAUAUUUUUCUCUAUCUUUCCCAAGGCAAGACGUUGAUUAAGUGGGAGGUUUUCAGAUCGAUAUUAAAAGGAGAGACACAAAGAUGAGCAGACGAGGAAGUAGUGGUCCAAGGCUUGAAUUGAAACUGAACCUAUCUCCUCCGAGGGCUAACUCAUCGUCACCAGGCGACUCCCCAGCUGCCUCCGAGACAUCCUCGGACAUGUCAAUCGAUCACAGCUCAUGCGUGUCAUCGGAGCCUGAUGAUCAGAUGAUGCAUUACCUGAGUAGGCCCGAAGCCAAGGCGAUGGUGCUCGCAGGGUGUCCUCGGUGCCUCAUGUAUGUCAUGCUAUCUGAAGUGGAUCCAAAGUGCCCAAAAUGCAAAAGCUCUGUCUUGCUCGAUUUCUUUAGCGAAGAAAGCAGCAAAAGGAGAUGAAUAUAGAUCAGAAUAUGGCUUGCUUUUCUUGUUUUCACAUGGAGCAAGUAAAUUCCAAUAUAUUUGUUAGGCUUUUGUGUUCCUGCUGAGGUUUUGGGUGUUCGGGUUAAGCCUUUUUAUUCUUCCUAAAGGAAAAUUUUAUAUUAUAUUUGCCCGAGUUGAUUGCCUUUAGGUUCAAGUAGCUUUUAGAGUUUGUUAGGUUGUUUAUUGUAAGAAUAUUGUGGAACUUUCAUUUUCUAUCUACUUUUCUUCUUCUAUGUGAAUGCAUCCUAAUUAAAUCU
Molecule: long non-coding RNA, 698 nt
Organism: Pyrus x bretschneideri (Chinese white pear)
Lineage: Eukaryota; Viridiplantae; Streptophyta; Magnoliopsida; Rosales; Rosaceae
Exons: 2
Source: RefSeq, a predicted model, not a curated record